This 66-nucleotide transfer RNA is filed under the name Demonax pseudonotabilis. Its description in RNAcentral is "tRNA-Pro". The record is from RNAcentral. Lineage: Eukaryota; Metazoa; Arthropoda; Insecta; Coleoptera; Cerambycidae.
CAAGGAAUAGUUUAUAAAAAAUUUUAAUUUUGGAGAUUAAAGAAGUAGGUUUUCCUAUUUCCUUGA